RNAcentral lists this transfer RNA (71 nucleotides) under Bos taurus (domestic cattle). It matches the Rfam family "tRNA". Rfam says of the family: Transfer RNA (tRNA) molecules are approximately 80 nucleotides in length. The record is from Rfam by way of RNAcentral. RNAcentral also lists the same sequence under 5 other names. Lineage: Eukaryota; Metazoa; Chordata; Mammalia; Artiodactyla; Bovidae.
UCCCUAGUGGCUCAGAUAGUAAAGCGUCUGCCCGAAAUGCAGGAGACCCAGGUCGAUCCCUGGGUCGGGAA